This 1259-nucleotide long non-coding RNA is filed under the name Homo sapiens (human). RNAcentral's name for it is "HSALNT0078998". Lineage: Eukaryota; Metazoa; Chordata; Mammalia; Primates; Hominidae. The record is from RNAcentral.
GUUUGUUAGCUAUCUAGAAGUUGUCCAGGGCUCCCUGAGGGAGGCCAGCACAAGAGCUCUGCCAUAAAAGGACAUUGGACAGAAGUGAAGAGUCCAAUCAGAAACUCUUUUUGAGAGACUGAACGCAAAGCAUUCAGAGAGUCAGCAGGCUGGAGAGGCCAAGACACACACACGAAGAAGGCAAUUGAGAGCUGUACUAGCCUGGCAUGCAGACAGCAGCUUUAGAAUCAGAUCUGCCUUCUGGCGGCUUCCCACCUAGGAGCCAUGGGACCUUUGUGAAGUCACCAAUUGUGCUGUGGAUGCUUCAUUUGUGAAGGAGAACAGGACUGCCUUGUGAAAUUACGGAUGGUGCUACUAAAACAUAUCAAUAAUUUGAAUUUCACUUUUGUGGAUGCUUUAAACAUCAUAGUCAUUAGAAGGUGGAUCUGGCUGAUUGUACUUUAAGUUUUCAGUUUGAGCUGGAGCUUUGUAUUAUAACAGGAGGGUACUGGACAAGAUGAGGAAACUGAGGUACAGAUGGGAAACUUGCUCAAGUUCACACAGCAAUUAAGUGAUCAAGUCCAAGAGCAAAACCAGGCAGGCUGGCUCCAGAGCUCACGAUAGUCCACCACUGCUUUCCACCAUCACUACGGAAUCAAGUCCAUGAGGAUACUCACCUUAUGUCAGUUGCCUAAGUUGGAAAUUAUAGAAUCUUCAAAUUGGAAGGGACGUUAUCAUCCAAGAUUUCAACUUUCUACUCACUGCAAAAUCCCUUCUGGAACUUCCCAGAUUGAUGAAUUUUCAUCAGCUCUGCUUGAGUACUCCCAGUGACUUGGAAAAAAAACACUGUAAUAUGGAUAUGAAAUAUAAACUGUUCAUGGAUAAAUUAUUGCAUAAUAAAAACAUGCCUAAUGGCUACACUCCCCUAAUAUGUUCAUUUGACUUCCCAGGAUUUAGCAACCAGGGCCUGGAAGGCAGACAAAGGUAACUGGCCCCAUGUGAUAAAAACAGGCCCGGGAGCAUCUUCAUUAAGGCAGGCAGUUUUGGGCCACCCGAUCAUGACCAUGGAUCUACGUGCUGGAACUUGAAAGUAUGUCCACGCUCAAGAUUUCUGUCUCUUCUAAAGCAAGAAAGGACUGGUUUUGCAUGCCCUGCCUAUGCACAUCUUUAUGAAAAUGUAACCUUUUCACUCACUUUCUGAACUCCACAAAAGAGUCAGCUUUCUCCUGUUGGUGAUGAAACCAGCUGUUGAAAUACUUCAAUUGGGUUGCAGUUGCUUC